RNAcentral lists this long non-coding RNA (1278 nucleotides) under Homo sapiens (human). RNAcentral's name for it is "HSALNT0196055". Lineage: Eukaryota; Metazoa; Chordata; Mammalia; Primates; Hominidae. The record is from RNAcentral.
AAGGCAGGUGGGUGGGAUGGUGGGAUGAGUGUAGAGAAGAUUCAAAAUAGUUGCUAUGGUGAAUGGGAGGAGAGAGCCAACAGGGAAAACAGGAAUUCCAGAGUAGUGGUAAGAAUUAGAGACCAUGAAUUUGUUAUUGCCAACAGUCUAGGUGACUGAGAUUAUGGUAGAGGCCUGGGCCUUCCCACCAAUAGGAACCGCCUCCUACCUCCACACUCAGUAACCACCAGGACUUGCCAACUGGUUCACAUAGUUUUAAGAUGUGUCAUCAUUGGUAUCUACUAUGUUUGUUAUGGUGUUGACAUGUGUUACUGGGACAGUAGCUAGUCAGGUCCAAGAUACAGGAGCAAAAGGCUGAUUCAGUUGCUCUGCCCAUAGGUCACCCUCCCCUGGGGCUUGCACCCCUGCCAGGCAGGAAGCUUCUCUUUGUCCCCUAACUCAACUCAGCCACUGGGAAUGACUUCGUUCAUUCAACUUAAUCUGAGUAUAACUACCCUACCUCCUUAUGAAUGCUGGAUUUCUUUUAACCUCAAGAUCUCCCCUCUGUUCCCCUCUACCCAAGCCAAAUACCCAUGCUAUCCUUGGGAACUUUAAAAAAUAUCUAUUUCCUAGUCAAGACAGCUGGCCACUUCACAUAACAACGCAGGUCUUCUGCAACCCUAAACAAAGGCUGGAGAUGGAUGGGGAAACGCUCUCCUAAUGGUGGAUGGGUAGAGAGACGUCUGAGGUUUCUGGAAGACUGAGGACCUAUUGUUUUCUCCACCAGUCUAAGCAGAACAGGUAUAAAAACAGAAUGGAAGGAAAUUUACAUUGAUCCAGGACUGGGCUUUUGCUGCAAGUUGCAAAUUAAGUUAUUUAGGGUGCUUUUGUCUGAAAGUAGCAGAAUGCCUGACUCAAGCUGGCUUAAAUAUGAAAUAAAUUAUUAUUUCAUGUAUUGGGAUAUCCUGGGGGAAGAUACUUCAGAUGGGGUUGAUUUAGUGGUUUGACAACAUCAUCAAAGAUCUGGGUUCUUCCUGUCUCUAUGCACUGCCACCCUUGUUGCUGGGUUCAUCCUCAGGAGGAAAGAUCAUCAGUUCUUUUGUCUCUUUCAUGGGAAAAUCUUUCCCAGAGUCCUCUUUACCCCACCUCACUCUACCCUCUAGAACUAGAAGUGAGUCACAUGACUGUUUCUCUCCUGAUAAGAGACAGGGAAUGACCAUGACCAACUUGGACCAACCGUCUGGGUUGGAAUGGAUGUUGGGGAGUCAUUCACAACAUCCAUGACUGGGUAUAGCAAAG